RNAcentral lists this long non-coding RNA (291 nucleotides) under Elaeis guineensis (African oil palm). Its description in RNAcentral is "long non-coding RNA (EGUI_LNC049864)". Lineage: Eukaryota; Viridiplantae; Streptophyta; Magnoliopsida; Arecales; Arecaceae. The record is from RNAcentral.
CAUAAGAAGGUGAAGGGUUUAAAGUCCCUCUCUUGCCCAUUUGAUGGAUUUUCUCUUAUGACGUGUAGGAGUACCGACUGUAAUAUUUUCUAUGAAGAUGAACAGCGAAUGAAAAAUUAUAUAUACUAUAUAUUUUAAAUUUAAAUCAGAUUAUGCAUGUACUUUUAUAUCUUUUAGAUCAUUAAAUAUUAUAUAUGAUAUAUUGUUUUGACACACGAUCUAAAAUUUAAUUUCUGUAAAACCCUAGAUCCUGUUUGCAUGAACCAUGAAAUUGUGACUGGUAUACCUGUG